CUGCCUUCUAAGAGUUCAGUUGGAGCCAAUGUCUUUCUUUUGAACAUCUUGUGCCAGGAUUUGAAAUUAAGCUCCAGUUCAUCCGUACACCCCGCGGCCGCUUUCGCAAGGGGCCGAGGGGGUGGCGGCCUCGCCCGGGGACUCGCGGCGCUGGGAGCUGCCUGCCCUCGGUGCGGGCUGCAGACCGGGCCGCGAGGCGGGCCGGGCGCGGGCGCGCAACAGGACCAGCGGGCUCCAGGCCCGGGUGGGGCCGCGCCGCCGACCCCCGGGCGGGGCGCGGGCGCCAGGAGCCCGGGGUUCCGGGCCGCGAUCUGCUGCAGCUCGGCCGGGAGACGGCGCGACCCGGCGGCGGGGCCACCCGCGAGUCCAGCGUCGCCGCAGCCCCCCAAUGCGGCCGCGAGAAGCAGCGGGGGGGCAGGCGAUCGAAGGACUGUCAAACUAGGAGUGCAUCUCGGGGACACUCAGAAGCACUAGGUAACGCACCCCCUUCUCCCUUUUCCUGCCAUGGCAGAAGGUAGGGAGAGGUGAACUCCCCAAACCAGAGCCCUGCUCUAGGGUCUAAGCAGAAACAGGACCACCUUUGUGGUUAGGCUAACAGAAGUUGUCUCCCUGUCUCCCUCUCUGCCAGGAGCUGUCACAGAAGCACCACAUGGAACCCUGUUUGAUGACCCCGAGCAAUUAGAACUCAUUUGCAUGGCAUGGAAGGCCAAGGGGGGGCCCCCGAGGCUUUUUCAGCUCCCCCUUCUUCCGCGACUUCUCUGUAGACAGGUGCAUACUUCUGGCUAUGGCAAGGGCCAGCUGGCAGGAGGACUCUAACUUGUCAUCACAGAAAUAAAAUGUGUCACCUCUGUGUUCCCAACCUCUGUUCCUUCAUGUUUAACCAGCACUCUGCAUCUUUAUAAACAUGUCAGGGUUCUAUUUUUAUUUCCUAAUUAAUUCAGAAAAGGAGCAGAAGACAUUGCUAGUGAUAGGAAAGGGGACGAUCACAAAGGUAGGACUAAGGGUGGCUUUUAUUUUUCAGUUGAAUGAGGCAAUUGAAUGAAUAUGUGGCAUCCAGCAAUUAGAAAAAUUACUUAGGGCCAGCCAGUGCCUGGGCGAUUCUUGGGCUGCCCUGAAACUGGUCAGAAUUUAUU
RNAcentral lists this long non-coding RNA (1133 nucleotides) under Rhinopithecus bieti (black snub-nosed monkey). RNAcentral's name for it is "lncRNA (ENSRBIG00000045321.1)". Lineage: Eukaryota; Metazoa; Chordata; Mammalia; Primates; Cercopithecidae. The record is from RNAcentral.